This 528-nucleotide long non-coding RNA is filed under the name Monodelphis domestica (gray short-tailed opossum). RNAcentral's name for it is "lncRNA (ENSMODG00000049920.1)". Lineage: Eukaryota; Metazoa; Chordata; Mammalia; Didelphimorphia; Didelphidae. The record is from RNAcentral.
CACCUAACCUGCCCCCUAUGGCAUAUAUUCUUACUGUGGAUUGGGUGAAGAGAUUUCAGGAAGUCUAUGAACUUAGUUGAGGAAAAAUUAAUAAUUAUUUUCAUUAAUCUCUAAUUGAAAUUAGCAUUGCCUUCAAAUAUGAAUGUAGGCAAUAAAACAUUUUAAGUAAUGUAUAGGGUUCAUCAGAUUGCCAAAGUGAACCAUGACACACAGCUAAUUGGUAAUGAAGGCAAAAGAUGGAAACAGUCAAUAAUGGUGGAAAGUCAGAUGCAGAGACCACUAAGGAGAGGUUCCUGUUCCCGAAAAGAGCUGAAGCUGGAACUUGAAGAGAGGCCAUCCCGCAGAAAGGGGAGCAGGGAGCUCUGCAGGAUGCAUCUGAGGAGCAGGAGCAGGAGCCCAGAGCUUCCAGAUCUUGCGGUCAUACUGGAGGAAAGAGUCUCCUGGCUGGUACAAGCCAGCAGGAUUUGACUGGCAUCAUUUCUGAAGUCAAGAAAUAAAUAUUGUCUCAGAGGAUUGGUGUGGAUUUCC